This 1657-nucleotide long non-coding RNA is filed under the name Salmo salar (Atlantic salmon). Its description in RNAcentral is "lncRNA (ENSSSAG00000084591.1)". Lineage: Eukaryota; Metazoa; Chordata; Actinopteri; Salmoniformes; Salmonidae. The record is from RNAcentral.
AGUCCUUCCUACCGUGCUGUUUUUGAAAGAUAUAAUGUAAGUCAUCAAGAACUACAAAAGUUUUGCUACUUUUCUCAACAACAUUGAUGUCCUGAAUUUAGCAGGUGCUAUCGACUGAUCAGUUGGAUAAAGUUAUGGACUACUUUCUGCACACGCCACGGUCAGUGUGAACCGGAGUGACUUGACAUAAUGCUGGCCAAACAAGCUACAAACAAAACAGAGUUAAAUGGUUCCAAUCUGCCGUGAAGCAUUCACCCAUGUACACGGCCCAGGCUGUGUGGUUCAAGGGUGAAUGGUGGGACUUGGGGCAGAUGCACUCCACAGAAAGAGGCAGAGCCAGAGGAGUCAGAGUAAGAGGAGGAGGACGGGGAGGAAAAGGACGAGGACGGGGAAGGCCAAGGACCGUAAUCUCUGAUGAGAUCCGAGCCACUUUGGUUGAUCAUGUGGUCAACCAUGGUCUAACAAUGAGGGAGGCUGGGCAAAGAGUACAGCCAAAUUUAAGCAGGUACACUGUAACAUCCAUCAUCCGGACAUUCCGAAAUGAGAAUAGAGCUGAAAGAUUACCAACACAAGGUGGUCGGGAACGUGUUCUGUCUCCUGAACAGGAAACUGAAAUCAUGAACAUGGUCCUAGAAAAUAACGGCAUAACAUUACGGCAAAUACAAAGAAAAAUAAUAGAAAACAAAGAGGUAUUUCAAAAUAUUGAUAGGGUAAGCUUAUCAACACUGGACCGUGUCUUGCGCAGAAAUAAUCUCAGGAUGAAGCAGGUCUACAGGGUGCCAUUUGAACGCAAUUCAGAAAGAGUCAAAGAAUUGCGAUAUAACUAUGUGCAAAGAGUCCUUGAGCUAGAGGUGGCUGCAGUGGAGCACCAGUUCAUCUUCAUUGAUGAGAUUGGAUUCAACCUCACAAAAAGACGAAAGAGGGGAAGGAAUAUCAUCGGCCAGCGUGCCAUUGUUCAAGUCCCUGGCCAGCGCGGAGGGAACAUCACAAUGUGUCCAGCGAUUACCCACCACGGCGUCAUCCAUCACCAUGCUACCCUUGGCCCCUACAACAACGCCCAUCUGAUCACAUUCCUGGACACCCUACACAACACACUCAUUCCACCAGAUCAGGUAGAUGGCCCAGAGCAGCUCAGGUACGUUGUCAUUUGGGACAACAUAAGUUUCCACAGGGCUGCUCUGGUUUGUAACUGGUUCACUGCCCACCCACGCUUUUUAGUUGUUUAUCUCCCUCCAUAUUCUCCAGUCCUCAAUCCUAUUGAGGAAUUUUUUUCUGCCUGGAGAUGGAAAGUGUAUGACCGAAAUUCACAAACGCGUAUACCUCUUCUCCAAGCUAUGGAAGACGCAUGUGGAGAAAUAGCAGCUGAUGCUUUUCAUGGCUGGAAUCGGCAUGCUAGGCGAUAUUUCCCCCGCUGCUUGGCCAGGGAAAACAUUGCUUGUGAUGUGGAUGAGGUGCUGUGGCCAGACCGCAACAGAAGAGAGGAUGCAGCAUAGUUUUAAAUGUUUAAAUUUUAAAUGUUUUUUACUUUAACUGUAUACAUUAAAUUCUUCUGUUUUGUAUGUAGACCACUGUAUGUGCAACUUUGUGUUGGUUGGGAAUGGGAUGUACACUGUGUACAUUGUUUUUGUGGGAAAAAUAAAAUAUAUUUGUUACCGUG